AUUUUUAAAUUAUGGUGAAAGGCUCAUUUCAGCAACAGCCAUAUUUGUUAUACAGGGAUUGGUAUCUUACAUAAAAGCACACCUCUUUUAAAAAAUACUGGUAAUGUUGAUUAAGUUCUUCUUAUUACAGUCUUUAAGAUUAUAUAAAAUGACACUACACCAGUGGAGUUUCAGAGAACUAAGUGGUCAUUCGUUACUUUUCCUUUAUUUCUCAUCAGUUUUGACAAGUCAGCCUCACAAGAGUUUUCUCUUCAAAACAGAGAGCAGCUGAGGAUGGAAAAGGAACAAAUCUUGGAGAAAACCCUUCACAGGACUCCAAGUGGGCUGGAUUCAUGUGGUGGAGAACCAGAUGUGUUUGGAUGGCUUUCAGGGCUCCCCUCAAGACCACCGGCCAUCAAACUUUAACAUCAUAGCAGAGAGCCCUGCUCAUAUCUCUAGUUCAGUGGGUAAUCACUGAGAAUCAAAGACCCCCAAAGAGGAGACCCCCCUAGUGACUCCAGACAGCAGCUGAUGGAGGUGGAGAGGAUGUUGCUGAGGACCAGUCAGAGGAC
Cheilinus undulatus (humphead wrasse) is the source of this 551-nucleotide long non-coding RNA. RefSeq lists it as uncharacterized. Lineage: Eukaryota; Metazoa; Chordata; Actinopteri; Labriformes; Labridae. The transcript is spliced from 3 exons. The record is from RefSeq and is a predicted model, not a curated record.